Alnus glutinosa is the source of this 1452-nucleotide long non-coding RNA. RefSeq lists it as uncharacterized. The record is from RefSeq and is a predicted model, not a curated record. NCBI's taxonomy places the organism in Eukaryota, Viridiplantae, Streptophyta, Magnoliopsida, Fagales, Betulaceae. The transcript is spliced from 6 exons.
UGCUUCAUACCUCAGUCACACAGUCUCACUCUGAAAAAUCUCACAGCUAUGGCUAUGACCACCUUACUCUACCUUCAAAAUCCUCUCUUUGUUCGCAAACCCACAAAACCCAUUACCUCUUCAACUCCAAAAGUCCCAAACACAUGGAACAUUGCAAACCCAAGUCCAGGAGCGUACCAAUUGUGUUGCCAUCCAGAACCCGAAGGCCAUGGUGGCUAUAUUAGGGGCGGGUUUGGCACUGACCCUCGUGGGACCCGCCUCAUCUGCGGAGCCACCCUCUCUGCAACUCACUGAGCCCGCCAAUGCUCUCUCCUUGCCCAACUGGGCCGUGCACGUGUCCAGUGUGGUCGAAUGAAUUUCGAUAUUCAGAGUAGUAUUCAGAAUUUGCAAUCUGCACACUACAUUCGGGCAGUAUUGUAUCCUGAGGACAAAAUUGUUGUAUUCCCUUUUGCAGAACUUAUUGUUUAAGUAGGAGGAUUGCAGCAAUGGCUUUGGUGUGGCAAUAUGGGGAGCAAUCCGGUUAUGAGUCUUGGAAAGGACUCUCCUGGGGUAUGGUACCCCUGUUAGGUGGAGCAUUUUGUGCAUGCACAUGGCAUUUCUUUUAUAACUCUGAGUCUCUUGAGGUAUUGGUGGCUCUUCAAGCAGCAUUAACAGUUAUAAGUAAUACCACGAUGUGUAUUGCUGCAUUCCGAAUAUACAAAUCGUCAGAAGAUAGCUCCAAGAAUAUCUGAAAGUUUCUGCACCUGCAUACUUAUAUGUGUGCCUUCAUAAACCUUUUCCCUGUCUUCUGCCUCCCUGUUGGAUAGUUGCUGUUUUGACUGAUAAGCACUGCACCUGAUCAACCCAAAUCAGUGAAAUUUCCUUGAACUGCAAGCUUGUGAAUCUUGUUCUGCCGCUUGUUAAAAUAUGAAAAAUAUCAAUCAUGGGCUCUUGACAUGGUACAUUCAAGGACAAUGAUAGAGCCAAAUGGAUGGUAGUCCCGCAAUUUGGACAGCCUCGCAAAGAGGGGGUUGUAGGGCUCACCUGUUUCAGGCAGUCAGGGUGCGAGAUCUACUUGGCUUAUGUAGAUGAGUACUAUAGUCUUCUCUUUAUAGGGCUGCUGAAUUACUAGCAAUUCGGACAACUAAUUGCCCUUCUAACUCAUGGUCACGUAGAAUUCAGAGCUUGAAGAAGUGUGGGUCAAAGCUUCCAAUUGCUUACCUUUUACCAUACAUAAAUGGCUAAAAGCUUAGGGGAAUUUUGUUCUUCUUCUUUUAGUCCUAUCCAUGGAACUGUUGCCACGACAAUAGUGUUUAUGCUUCAUGCCUAGAAUGUGGAUGUGAUGGGACCAAAUCUCAUUUACAUUAAGAAAUGAGAAUUUAAGGGAUGGGAGAAAGUUCUAUUGUGUAGCUCAUAGGUUAGGAUGAUUUAAAUUGUAAUGCUCCGGUAAGAUAAAUGCAUUAUUUUACAUUA